This 1237-nucleotide ribosomal RNA is filed under the name Salmonella enterica subsp. enterica serovar Mikawasima. Its description in RNAcentral is "partial 23S ribosomal RNA". It matches the Rfam family "Bacterial large subunit ribosomal RNA", at positions 1 to 1269 of the family's 2925-position model. Lineage: Bacteria; Pseudomonadati; Pseudomonadota; Gammaproteobacteria; Enterobacterales; Enterobacteriaceae. The record is from RNAcentral.
GGGUUGUGAGGUUAAGCGACUAAGCGUACACGGUGGAUGCCCUGGCAGUCAGAGGCGAUGAAGGACGUGCUAAUCUGCGAUAAGCGCCGGUAAGGUGAUAUGAACCGUUAUAACCGGCGAUUUCCGAAUGGGGAAACCCAGUGUGAUUCGUCACACUAUCAUUAACUGAAUCCAUAGGUUAAUGAGGCGAACCGGGGGAACUGAAACAUCUAAGUACCCCGAGGAAAAGAAAUCAACCGAGAUUCCCCCAGUAGCGGCGAGCGAACGGGGAGGAGCCCAGAGCCUGAAUCAGCAUGUGUGUUAGUGGAAGCGUCUGGAAAGGCGCGCGAUACAGGGUGACAGCCCCGUACACAAAAGCGCAUGUGCUGUGAGCUCGAUGAGUAGGGCGGGACACGUGGUAUCCUGUCUGAAUAUGGGGGGACCAUCCUCCAAGGCUAAAUACUCCUGACUGACCGAUAGUGAACCAGUACCGUGAGGGAAAGGCGAAAAGAACCCCGGCGAGGGGAGUGAAAAAGAACCUGAAACCGUGUACGUACAAGCAGUGGGAGCACCCUUUGGGGUGUGACUGCGUACCUUUUGUAUAAUGGGUCAGCGACUUAUAUUCUGUAGCAAGGUUAACCGUAUAGGGGAGCCGGAGGGAAACCGAGUCUUAACCGGGCGUUAAGUUGCAGGGUAUAGACCCGAAACCCGGUGAUCUAGCCAUGGGCAGGUUGAAGGUUGGGUAACACUAACUGGAGGACCGAACCGACUAAUGUUGAAAAAUUAGCGGAUGACCUGUGGCUGGGGGUGAAAGGCCAAUCAAACCGGGAGAUAGCUGGUUCUCCCCGAAAGCUAUUUAGGUAGCGCCUCGUGAAUUCAUCUCCGGGGGUAGAGCACUGUUUCGGCUAGGGGGCCAUCCCGGCUUACCAACCCGAUGCAAACUGCGAAUACCGGAGAAUGUUAUCACGGGAGACACACGGCGGGUGCUAACGUCCGUCGUGAAGAGGGAAACAACCCAGACCGCCAGCUAAGGUCCCAAAGUCAUGGUUAAGUGGGAAACGAUGUGGGAAGGCCCAGACAGCCAGGAUGUUGGCUUAGAAGCAGCCAUCAUUUAAAGAAAGCGUAAUAGCUCACUGGUCGAGUCGGCCUGCGCGGAAGAUGUAACGGGGCUAAACCAUGCACCGAAGCUGCGGCAGCGACACUAUGUGUUGUUGGGUAGGGGAGCGUUCUGUAAGCCUGUGAAGGUGUGUCGUGAGGC